UGGGGAAUCUUGCACAAUGGGCGAAAGCCUGAUGCAGCGACGCCGCGUGCGGGAUGACGGCCUUCGGGUUGUAAACCGCUUUCAGCAGGGACGAUAAUGACGGUACCUGCAGAAGAAGCCCCGGCCAACUACGUGCCAGCAGCCGCGGUAAUACGUAGGGGGCAAGCGUUGUCCGGAUUUAUUGGGCGUAAAGAGCUCGUAGGCGGUUUGGUAAGUCUGGUGUGAAAUCUCCACGCUCAACGUGGAGGGGCCACCCGAUACUGCCAUGACUGGAGUCCGGUAGAGGAGUGUGGAAUUCCCGGUGUAGCGGUGAAAUGCGCAGAUAUCGGGAGGAACACCCGUAGCGAAGGCGGCACUCUGGGCCGGUACUGACGCUGAGGAGCGAAAGCGUGGGGAGCAAACAGGAUUAGAUACCCACGUAGUCCCUGAGCGGGC
This 435-nucleotide ribosomal RNA is filed under the name uncultured bacterium. RNAcentral describes it as "bacterial SSU rRNA". It matches the Rfam family "Bacterial small subunit ribosomal RNA", at positions 355 to 804 of the family's 1533-position model. The record is from RNAcentral.